AACAAAUAAGUCAUACAAGCUUUAAUAUUACAAGCCAGGGGCCUUGAGGGCUCGAAUACAAAUGCUUGACCAUACAGAGUCAGCGGAAGCAACAAUAUCUGAGUAAGACAUAAGUUAAAGAAGGUGCCAUAAGAUGGAUAGCACAAACCGGGGAUACAGAUCAAAAGAGGCGCGGGCCUCCUGCCUGAGAUCCUCCUAAACUUCUCCUGGUCGUCGGCAUCCUGCACGUAGUAGUAGGCACCCUCGGUGUAGUAGGGGUCAUCAUCGACGGUAGCAUCUGGCUCCUAGGCUCCAACAUCUGGUUGCGACAUCCGAGAAGAAUGGAAAAGGGGGGAAAGAGGGAGCAAAGCAACCGUGAGUACUCAUCCAAAGUAGUCGCAAGCAAGGAUCUACACUACAUAUGCAUUGGUAUCAAUGAAAUGGAUAGAAUCUAUGGACUGAACUGCAGAAUGCCAAAAUAAGAGGGGGAUAGCUAGUCCUAUCGAAGACUACGCUUCUGGCAGUCUCCGUUCUAAAGCAUAUAGAAGAGAGUAGCAAGGCAUAGCAUAAUCCUACCCGGCGAUCCUCCCCUCGUCGCCAUGUGGGAAAGCGAUCACUGGGUUAUCUCUGGAACUUAUCUGGGUGUGUUUUAUUAAGUAUCUGGUUCUAGUUGUCAUAAGGUCGAAGUACAACUCCGGUAGUCCUUUUACCGAGGGACACGGCUAUUCGAAUAGAUAAACUUCCUACAGGGGUGCACCACAUUACCCAACAUGCUCGAUCCCUUUGGUCGGGCACACUUUCCUGGGUCAUGCCCGGCCUUGGAAGAUCAACACGUCGCAACCCUAUCUAGGCCUAAUAAAGAGGUCAGCACGCCGAUCUAAAUCCUAAGCGCGCAGAGGUCUUGGGCCCAUCGCCCUUUGCACUCCUGCACGUUGCCAGGGAGGCCAGAAGUAGACCUAGCCUCCCUAAUACAAGAGCAGGUGUUCCAGUCCAAUCCGGCGUGCACCGCUCAACCGCUGACGUCUAGGAGGCUUCGGCUGAUACCACGACGUCGAGAGCCCAUAACUGUUCCCACGUAGUUGGUUAGUGCAUAUAGGCUCGUAGCCACACUCAGAUUAAAUACCAAGAUCUCAUUAAGCGUGUUAUUUUGAAGUAACAGUGGACGCCGACCAGGGACCAGGCCCACCUGUCUCCUAGGUGGUCUCAACCCGCCAUGUCGCUCUGCCACAAAGUAAUAGUCGGGGGCCUUCGAGAACCCAGGGCCAUCACGAUCUGGAUGGAACCACAUGUCCCUUCAGCCCCCCACAUCGGAAUCACUUGCGGGUACUCUAUGAGCCGACCCGACUUUAAUCACAUCAUGUAACUUGUAUAAUAUGUAUGUAUGUAUAUACCUGUGAUCACCUCCCGACUGAUCACGGCCCAAUAGCAUAGCAUGACAGACAAACAAGAAUGUAGGGCCACUGAAAUACUAGCAUCCUAUAUUAAGCAUUUAGGAUAGCAGGUAAAGGUAUCAACAAUUAUAGCAACAAUGACAAGCUAUGCAACAAAAUAGGAGCUAUUGAAUCAACAACGGUAGCAAAACUAAUGCAAGAAUAAGAGAAAAGAGAGUGGGCAAUAUAUGAUUGAUCAAGAGUAGUCAAUCGAGGCAGCAGCAGCGUCAGUCUCAUAGUCUACCAGAGAGAAGAAGGGGGAAAGAAACAAUAAAUACAAUGCGAACAGAUGCAGCACAAAGCAAGACAUAGUAAUACGCGAUGCUAGGGGUGAUCUAACGCAAUGCUAGGUGAUAUAGGUGGAGGGGGGAAACAUCCGGGAAUGUUUUCCCGAAGUUUGAAAUUUUUGGGUAGAUGAAUCGGAGGGGAUGGUUCCAUGUUCAGCAUGCUAGGGGCGUGUGAAAGAUGAACAGAGCGUGUAUUCAGAUUUGUCAUGUUUUCUCUAAGCAACUUUGAUGUAUAAAAUAUUUUCAUCCGAGUUACGAAUUAUUUUAUAUGAUUUUCAAAGUUUUUAAAUGAUUUUCUAAUUUUCGGAUUUAAUUUAAUUAGAAAUUAAGUUAGUAUUUAAAUGCUAUGGGUACACAGAAAGUGUACCCAGAAGUGUGCACCUGAGGCUGACAGGUGGGGAUAGUUGACUAACUCAACUACCCAGUCAGCAGAGGCUGACAGGUGGGCCAGGGGAUGCUGACUUAGUGGUCAAUAGGUCAACAUUAACCCGUCAAUGUAUUUAGCAGGUAUUUAUUUUAAAAUUUCUCUAAUUACUUGGCGUGGCCCACAUGUCAUACUCUAGUUUAUUAAUAGGUUUAUUUUUAAAACAGGGUUAGUUUAGUGGGUGGGCCCCCGGUGCCAGUGAAUGUUUAUGGGGGAUUAGUGGCUGACGACAGCCACGUCACGAUUAGCGCCAGUGACGAACUACAGAGCGGCAGCGGCACGGGAGCUUGCCGGAAACGGCGUACGGGGAGUCGAUCGCGGCGGGGCUGGGUCCAUUCGAACGCCUGCGUGAUGGGGCAUCGCAUGGGGGUGGUGGCACAGCCGGGGGUGGUCGGUGUCGACCGCUACGCGGGCGGCCGGCGGCAAUAGAAGUCGGGCGAGACGGGAAGCAGUGGUCGGGGUAAGGCCAAGAGGGUGUGGGGAGCGGGAGGUAGGCUGCGGGUGCGCGCGCGCAGGCGGGCGCAGCAGAGGGCGGUCCAGGGCGUGCGGGAGCACGGCAAUGGGCGCGCGCUGACGCGGGGAGCGCGAGCUCACCGAGGCACCGGGUGCGACGGCGUACGACGACUAUGGUUAAGAAGGCGGGAUAGGGGUUGCGGAGGAGGCUCACAGUGAGCGACGGGGAGCUAGGAAAGUGGUCGGAGCGGCCGGAGACGAGUCGGAGAAGCGGUUCGUCGACGCGUGGAGGUGGUGGCCGAGGCGGAUGGGGAGGACCAGCGAAGGAGAGGCGGGGAUGAGCAGUCCGGCGGUGGUGGUGGCGGCGGGCGAUGGUGACGGUGAGCUGCGUCGGGCGACGUCGGGAGCAGGAGGGGCCGAUCCAGAUCAAGGAAGGAGGGGGGAUCAGGG
This 3023-nucleotide long non-coding RNA is filed under the name Triticum aestivum (bread wheat). Its description in RNAcentral is "long non-coding RNA (TAES_LNC027262)". The record is from RNAcentral. Lineage: Eukaryota; Viridiplantae; Streptophyta; Magnoliopsida; Poales; Poaceae.